CGGGGUGUAGCUCAGUUUGGCUAGAGCGCGUGCCUUGGGCGCACGAGGUCGCUGGUUCAAGUCCAGUCACCCCGA
RNAcentral lists this transfer RNA (75 nucleotides) under Phycisphaerae bacterium. Its description in RNAcentral is "tRNA-Pro". It matches the Rfam family "tRNA". Rfam says of the family: Transfer RNA (tRNA) molecules are approximately 80 nucleotides in length. Their secondary structure includes four short double-helical elements and three loops (D, anti-codon, and T loops). RNAcentral also lists the same sequence under 2 other names. The record is from RNAcentral. Lineage: Bacteria; Pseudomonadati; Planctomycetota; Phycisphaerae.